GGGGGGGGGGUGCUUACCAUGCAGUCGAACGCUGAGCACCAGCUUGCUGGUGUGGAUGAGUGGCGAACGGGUGAGUAAUACGUGAGUAACCUGCCCUUGACUCUGGGAUAAGCCCGGGAAACUGGGUCUAAUACUGGAUGCUACAUGUCACCGCAUGGUGGUGUGUGGAAAGGGUUUACUGGUCUUGGAUGGGCUCACGGCCUAUCAGCUUGUUGGUGAGGUAAUGGCUCACCAAGGCGACGACGGGUAGCCGGCCUGAGAGGGUGACCGGCCACACUGGGACUGAGACACGGCCCAGACUCCUACGGGAGGCAGCAGUGGGGAAUAUUGCACAAUGGGCGAAAGCCUGAUGCAGCGACGCCGCGUGAGGGAUGACGGCCUUCGGGUUGUAAACCUCUUUCAGCAGGGAAGAAGCCACAAGUGACGGUACCUGCAGAAGAAGCGCCGGCUAACUACGUGCCAGCAGCCGCGGUAAUACGUAGGGCGCAAGCGUUGUCCGGAAUUAUUGGGCGUAAAGAGCUCGUAGGCGGUUUGUCGCGUCUGCUGUGAAAGCCCGGGGCUUAACCCCGGGUGUGCAGUGGGUACGGGCAGACUAGAGUGCAGUAGGGGAGACUGGAAUUCCUGGUGUAGCGGUGGAAUGCGCAGAUAUCAGGAGGAACACCGAUGGCGAAGGCAGGUCUCUGGGCUGUUACUGACGCUGAGGAGCGAAAGCAUGGGGAGCGAACAGGAUUAGAUACCCUGGUAGUCCAUGCCGUAAACGUUGGGCACUAGGUGUGGGGGACAUUCCACGUUUUCCGCGCCGUAGCUAACGCAUUAAGUGCCCCGCCUGGGGAGUACGGCCGCAAAGCUAAAACUCAAAGGAAUUGACGGGGGCCCGCACAAGCGGCGGAGCAUGCGGAUUAAUUCGAUGCAACGCGAAGAACCUUACCAAGGCUUGACAUAUACCGGGAUCGUUCCAGAGAUGGUUCUUCCCCUUUGGGGUCGGUAUACAGGUGGUGCAUGGUUGUCGUCAGCUCGUGUCGUGAGAUGUUGGGUUAAGUCCCGCACGAGCGCAACCCUCGUUCCAUGUUGCCAGCACGUGAUGGUGGGGACUCAUGGGAAACUGCUCGGGU
Molecule: ribosomal RNA, 1112 nt
Filed under: Kocuria palustris
Lineage: Bacteria; Bacillati; Actinomycetota; Actinomycetes; Micrococcales; Micrococcaceae
Description: bacterial SSU rRNA
Rfam family: Bacterial small subunit ribosomal RNA
Source: RNAcentral